AUUUAAAUAAUUUAAUUAAAAAUUUUGAUUUGUGGGGUCAACUUUAUAGAUAAAUCUAUUUUAAAUA
This 67-nucleotide transfer RNA is filed under the name Platencyrtus parkeri. RNAcentral describes it as "tRNA-His". The record is from RNAcentral. Lineage: Eukaryota; Metazoa; Arthropoda; Insecta; Hymenoptera; Encyrtidae.